This 3151-nucleotide long non-coding RNA is filed under the name Canis lupus familiaris (dog). Its description in RNAcentral is "lncRNA (ENSCAFG00845004010.1)". Lineage: Eukaryota; Metazoa; Chordata; Mammalia; Carnivora; Canidae. The record is from RNAcentral.
GGAUAACAAUAAAGCAGGUAGGGAGAGAGUAAUGAGGGAAAGUUGUUUUAGAUGGGGUUAUUAGGGAUGAACUUUCUAAGGAUUUUGGCAAAAUUGGAAGAAAGAGAAUGUGUCAUCUGAUUUCCUGAGGGAAGAGCAUCCCCAUCAGUUUUAAAAACAAGUUUAAAAAAAUGCCUGAAGUAAUAAUUCAUGUUUUUUAUUUUUGCUUAAUAUUUCUUCUUUUCCUCCCUUCCAGGCACAUGGAAUGUAGUUUCUGGCCCUUUUGUGUUGUGAUGGGUCUUACGGCAAAUUCUGUCCAACAAAUCGUGGAAAGAAAUAAUGUGUGUCACUUCUGGAUUGAAGCAUUUACUUGUCAGCUGGAAAACAUGUAAACAUCUCCUGCCAUCUCAGUAUCAUGAAAAACUCAGCUGUUUCUGCCCCCGCAGAGUCUUCGCCGACAGCAGACCUACAUCUCUAUCCACCCAUAUCCAGAGGAACAACCAUCCCUCAGGAAGCCUGUUCAUCUCAGAUCCUGGAGUGUCCAAAGCUGAAAGAAGAAUGUUGCAUUCACGUCAAGCUCCUUUUAGACUCUGUGUUUUACCUCGUGGGCUUCCUGGGAAAACGAAUCACCGUUUUGCCGCUGAGCAUCUUCAAACAAAGAAGGGAGUAAGGUUGACGUGGCUGUUCAGAUCCGUUAGUGAAGCCGCGGCGGCUGUGGACAGGUGGUCUCCAGAACGCCCCAGCCUCAUCCGUACCCAACAGCAGCCUCGGAGAGUGGGCGUCUUUCUACUGCGGCACGAGGCUCCCAGAUACUGAGACAAAAAGUUGUUUUUGACACAUGUUGCUUUUAGGAAAAAGACUGGAAGUAGGAGGUAAAAUGACACAUAAGCGUCUGCAUCCUAAUGAUUAUAGAGAAGAAAGAAAAAAACCUGACUUCACUUAGGGGCUAGAUUAAAAUCAUCGAGGACUGGGGAAUAUAAAUAAUAGUGAAAGGGAAUAGAAGGGAAGGGAGAAGAAAUGUGUGGGAAAUACCAGAAAGGGAGACAGAAUAUGAAGACUCCUAACUCUGGGAAACGAACUAGGGGUGGUGGAAGGGGAGGAGGGCGGGGGGUGGGGGUGACUGGGUGACGGACACUGAGGGGGGCACUUGACGGGAUGCGCUCUGGGUGUUAUUCUGUAUGUUGGCAGACUGAACACCAAUAAAAAUAAAUUUGUUAUUAAAAAAAUCAUCGAGGAAACAAAAGAAUCCAGCAGGAAAUCAACGCGCGUGAUAAAACAGUGACCUCAAAAGAUACGCCACUUGGGCCCAAAUGUGUCUAAGGAAGUAGAAGAUUUUGCUUAUUCCUGACAAUUUUUUUCCCCAAUAAAUGUCAUCACACUAUUUAUUAGUUUUAAAUAGUUCAUUCCCUUGUAGUUCAGGCAUCCUGCACACCAUAACAUAAUUAAUUUGGAUUCUGGAAAUAUACUAUGCAAAAAUGGAAGAAUUGGCAAUUUGACUUCUACUGGUCACUGAGGCACUGAGCAGGGUGUGUGUCUCCCCUGUUUUAAUCUGGAUUAAUCCAGGCUUCUACGAAGGGGGCUCUCUGAGAGUAAAUAUGACUUCUUACUAAUACAGAAAAAUAAUAUGUUAUUUAUUUGCACACAUAAUGGUAAUGUGGCCGGUCACAUGUUCAUGAUCUCAUUUUAGGUUCUAAUUCUCAUGUCGAAAUGGCAGCUAAACCAUGACAUAUGAUUUCUGCUUUCACGUCUAAGAAAACCAAGAUACAUAGAAGGUAAAUAAUUAGUUCAAGAUCGUACCUUUCAUGAGUGUAACAUCCGGAAUAUGCUUCUCAGCCUCUCCGGCUCCAAGCUGUGCAUUUUCCCCUCCUCUGUCCCGACCUGAGGAAGAGUGAGAGCGGACGAUGAGCGGGGACCUGUUCUCAAUAUGACGGUCAACAUGCAACCUUCGUGACAGCACAGCGCCAAGGAAGGCAGGCCACGGGCCACAUUAAAAAAAUUCCUUUUGUAGAAUGCAUGCCAGGGACUCAGGGCCAAGGAUUAUUUUGUGUGUGUUCCUACGUCCACCCCACAAAGUACACAAUUUAGUGGUCUUUUACCAAAGGCAAUCUGAUGAAUGUGCGCUGAUCAAACAUCAGUGUCAGGAAAUGUGGGGAGUCUGGGGAGAACAGACUAACCCUUGGAUUGGGAGUGUGCUCAAAAUUCAGCAGUGGCUUUAGAAUAUCUAGAGAGAAAGGUCCUGGGGAUAGGCAUGUGAGCAAGGAAGAAAAAAGAACAACUAGGGAAUUUGUCUUGAAUUGGCCACAUAUGUGAAAAGAAUACUGUUUGUGUUUAAUGUGUGUUAUUUUGGAGUCACUUAGGGGCCAAUGGGUAUCACAGAGAGCUAGAAUGCUUCAGAGCCCACAUCCUACUCCAGUGACCUACAAGGAAGAACACUGGGGAGAAUCGCAGGGUGUGAGGGGUGGGGAGGACAGGUGCAGGAGGACAGGUGGGGAGGACAGGUGUGGGGGACAGGGUGGGGGGACAGAUGGGGGGCAGAGUGGGGGGGACAGAUGGGGAGGACACGUGCAGGUGGGGAGGACAGGUGCAGGAGUUUGCAAAGCCUCAGGGUACCGACGUGGCUGGGCGCUGAGUUGGGCACAGCCAGACUGCACACAGGGUCUGGACUUGCCUCCCGCUCUCACCUGGACCCUUCUCCUGCAUUACAAGCCAUGGACCAUUUUCCAUUCAGUGUUCUAUCUCUAGAGAUAUUCAUAGCAGAAAAAACAGGAAGAAGGUGCAGGUUGACCCCAGUGUGUAUCAAAGGGCACACUCUUCAGGUAUCUGAACAUACCCCAUAACCUUCGGCCUCCUCGAAGGACUUUAGAGCAUCCCACAGCCAGACAGGUUCAGACUGAGUUAUUACUUAAAAGAUGAAGAAUGAACAAAAGUUUUAAAAAGUUGGCAUAUUUCAAAUUCAUUUUACUUGUUAAAAAAAAAAAUACUGGCCCCACAGGUACUCAAGUCAGUGGGGAGGACAGGUGCAGGGGUGGGGAGGACAGGCAGGGAGGACAGUGCAGGGUAACCUUGAGAUGGCUUUCAGACUAGCAGGAACGAGUUCAGGUUGACUGUGGAAGAAGGAUAAAGCGGGUACGGGGGAGCCAGGGGCCAGGCCUGCAUGUGCCCCCCAGGGGCG